This 1341-nucleotide small RNA is filed under the name Arabidopsis thaliana (thale cress). RNAcentral describes it as "ATSL061040". Lineage: Eukaryota; Viridiplantae; Streptophyta; Magnoliopsida; Brassicales; Brassicaceae. The record is from RNAcentral.
UAUUAUUUUUUAUUAAAAAAUAAUAAAUCAAAGAUUUAACCUGUAUUGAAACGGUGAAUUAAUUAUAUUUUACUUUUUAUUAAUGUUGAUUCAAAAACCCGUCCCUCCAAAUCCGUCUUGCCAAAAAGCCAUUUAUUUUAUUAAUAUUAAUUUUAUUUAUGAUAUAACUCUGAAUUAUAAUAUAAACAUUUUAGCUAAUAACAUAGGAGUGCACCAUAUUUAUUUAAUAAGGGGAAUGUACCAUAUGACCCGAAUGCACUUUUACCCAAAUCCACCAAAAAAGUCUUGCAAAACUACUAUAGACCCGAAUGUACCAUAUUUUUUUGUGCUAAUUUUUAUGUGAUUAAGAUUUAAUUGAUUUCGUAUAUAAAAUAUUAAAUUGUUUUACGAACUUAUUUGUUUAUAAUUUGGUAACAGAUAGAUAAUUGAAUAUUCAGUAUAUUUUGUUUCAGUUUAGGAAAUCUUUAAUGACCCAUCUUUAAAUCCAAUAAGCCCUAUAAUUAAGAGAUGAAUAUUGUCGUUAAAUGAUUUUGGUAAUCUUAAUGAUGUCAUUAAAAGAUUUUGUUUUUGAUUAAAUUUUUUUAAUGGCAUUGUCAUGUAAUUAAUUACAAAAAUUAAAGUUACAUUUAAAAUGUACUUCCCAAAUAAUAUAGUAGAACGAUAUGCACUUUUAUCCAAAUCCACCAAAAAAGUCUUGCAAAUAUACUAUAGAGAUAAGAAACGAUAGUCGGUUUUGAUAGGUAUAAGAUUAGCAAAUAUAUUAGUUCGCUUAAAUUAGUUAAAGAAUAUAAAUUGAAAAGGUAUAUUACACUUUAUUCGAAUAUAGUAUCAAAACUUAUAUAGAGAUUUGAUAAAUUUUUAAUUGUUGAAUACUUUUUUUUUGAGCAAAUUUUAUGUGAUUAAGAUUUAGUUGAUUUCGUAUAUAAAAUAUUAAAUUGUUUUACGAACUUAUUUGUUUAUAAUUUGGUAACAGAUAGAUAUUUGAAUAUUCAGUAUAUUUUGCUUCAGUUUAGGAAAUCUUUGAUGAGUUGUCUUUAGAUCCAAUAAGCCCUGUAAUCUAGAUAUUAACUUGCAGUAUACCGCAGGUAGGCUUAUAUUUUAGUUCAACUAAAAACUUUUAAAAAUUCAAAUUAUGGCAUAUGCGAAAAAACUCUAAUUAUUUUUCUGUAAUGAUGAUAUUAUUUUUCGGCAAAAAUAGAAUCAUAUAAAGAUGAGAAGUAAACUAUAAUAAUUAAUAAAAAAUUAAUAUGAUAAUUUAGAUAUCAAAUCUAAUUUGUUGAUUUUAAUUGGUUACUUUUUUGGGAAUUAAUAAUGUAUUUCGUUUUUCUAAUUAAAUUAAAU